Nitrococcus mobilis Nb-231 is the source of this 79-nucleotide non-coding RNA. Lineage: Bacteria; Pseudomonadati; Pseudomonadota; Gammaproteobacteria; Chromatiales; Ectothiorhodospiraceae. The record is from Rfam.
CGCGUCUUGCGGCAACGCAAGGCGUGAUGGGGCAGAAGUCAGCAGAGGCCAUAGUAGCCGUGGGCACGCGGAGAAGGGC